AGAGUUUGAUCAUGGCUCAGGAUGAACGCUGGCGGCGUGCUUAACACAUGCAAGUCGAACGAAGCGCCCUGGAACAAUUCUUCGGGAGAGGGAAAGGGCGGCUUAGUGGCGGACGGGUGAGUAACGCGUGGGUAACCUGCCCCGCACAGGGGGAUAACAGUUGGAAACGACCGCUAAUACCGCAUAAGCCGGCGGGGCCGCAUGGCCCAGCCGGAAAAGAUUUAUCGGUGUGGGAUGGACCCGCGUCUGAUUAGCCGGUUGGCAGGGUAACGGCCUACCAAAGCGACGAUCAGUAGCCGGCCUGAGAGGGUGAACGGCCACAUUGGGACUGAGACACGGCCCAAACUCCUACGGGAGGCAGCAGUGGGGAAUAUUGCACAAUGGGGGGAACCCUGAUGCAGCGACGCCGCGUGGGUGAAGAAGUAUUUCGGUAUGUAAAGCCCUAUCAGCAGGGAAGAGAAUGACGGUACCUGACUAAGAAGCCCCGGCUAACUACGUGCCAGCAGCCGCGGUAAUACGUAGGGGGCAAGCGUUAUCCGGAUUUACUGGGUGUAAAGGGAGCGUAGACGGCGGUGCAAGUCAGGAGUGAAAGGCAGGGGCUCAACCCCUGGACUGCUCUUGAAACUGCAUAGCUGGAGUGCUGGAGAGGUAAGCGGAAUUCCUGGUGUAGCGGUGAAAUGCGUAGAUAUCAGGAGGAACACCAGUGGCGAAGGCGGCUUACUGGACAGUGACUGACGUUGAGGCUCGAAAGCGUGGGGAGCAAACAGGAUUAGAUACCCUGGUAGUCCACGCGGUAAACG
Molecule: ribosomal RNA, 800 nt
Filed under: uncultured bacterium
Lineage: Bacteria
Description: bacterial SSU rRNA
Rfam family: Bacterial small subunit ribosomal RNA
Source: RNAcentral